Molecule: ribosomal RNA, 301 nt
Filed under: uncultured bacterium
Lineage: Bacteria
Description: partial 16S ribosomal RNA
Rfam family: Bacterial small subunit ribosomal RNA
Source: RNAcentral
CAGCAGCCGCGGUAAUACAGAGGAUGCAAGCGUUAUCCGGAAUGAUUGGGCGUAAAGGGCUCGCAGGCGGUUUCUUAAGUCUGAUGUGAAAGCCCCCGGCUCAACCGGGGAGGGCCAUUGGAAACUGGGAAACUUGAGUGCAGAAGAGGAGAGUGGAAUUCCACGUGUAGCGGUGAAAUGCGUAGAGAUGUGGAGGAACACCAGUGGCGAAGGCGACUCUCUGGUCUGUAACUGACGCUGAGGAGCGAAAGCGUGGGGAGCGAACAGGAUUAGAUACCCCAGUAGUCCCUGUCUCUUAUAC